Molecule: ribosomal RNA, 403 nt
Filed under: uncultured bacterium
Lineage: Bacteria
Description: bacterial SSU rRNA
Rfam family: Bacterial small subunit ribosomal RNA
Source: RNAcentral
UUUUGGACAAUGGGCGCAAGCCUGAUCCAGCCAUGCCGCGUGUAUGAAGAAGGCCUUCGGGUUGUAAAGUACUUUUGUCAGGGAAGAAAAGCCUGAGGAUAACACCCUCAGGUCAUGACGGUACCUGAAGAAUAAGCACCGGCUAACUACGUGCCAGCAGCCGCGGUAAUACGUAGGGUGCGAGCGUUAAUCGGAAUUACUGGGCGUAAAGCGAGCGCAGACGGUUAUUUAAGCAAGAUGUGAAAGCCCCGGGCUCAACCUGGGAACUGCGUUUUGAACUGGGUAACUAGAGUGUGUCAGAGGGGGGUAGAAUUCCACGUGUAGCAGUGAAAUGCGUAGAGAUGUGGAGGAAUACCGAUGGCGAAGGCAGCCCCCUGGGAUAACACUGACGUUCAUGCCGAAA